AGACCCGAAACCCGGUGAUCUAGCCAUGGGCAGGUUGAAGGUUGGGUAACACUAACUGGAGGACCGAACCGACUAAUGUUGAAAAAUUAGCGGAUGACCUGUGGCUGGGGGUGAAAGGCCAAUCAAACCGGGAGAUAGCUGGUUCUCCCCGAAAGCUAUUUAGGUAGCGCCUCGUGAAUUCAUCUCCGGGGGUAGAGCACUGUUUCGGCUAGGGGGCCAUCCCGGCUUACCAACCCGAUGCAAACUGCGAAUACCGGAGAAUGUUAUCACGGGAGACACACGGCGGGUGCUAACGUCCGUCGUGAAGAGGGAAACAACCCAGACCGCCAGCUAAGGUCCCAAAGUCAUGGUUAAGUGGGAAACGAUGUGGGAAGGCCCAGACAGCCAGGAUGUUGGCUUAGAAGCAGCCAUCAUUUAAAGAAAGCGUAAUAGCUCACUGGUCGAGUCGGCCUGCGCGGAAGAUGUAACGGGGCUAAACCAUGCACCGAAGCUGCGGCAGCGAACGUAUCACCCAAGACAACUUUACGGAGUUGACGAUUGACGGAGCGAAGCGACGUCAAAGCGUUCAUUAAAGUCGAGUUGGCUUAGGGGUACGUUCGUUGGGUAGGGGAGCGUUCUGUAAGCCUGUGAAGGUGUGUCGUGAGGCAUGCUGGAGGUAUCAGAAGUGCGAAUGCUGACAUAAGUAACGAUAAAGCGGGUGAAAAGCCCGCUCGCCGGAAGACCAAGGGUUCCUGUCCAACGUUAAUCGGGGCAGGGUGAGUCGACCCCUAAGGCGAGGCCGAAAGGCGUAGUCGAUGGGAAACGGGUUAAUAUUCCCGUACUUGGUGUUACUGCGAAGGGGGGACGGAGAAGGCUAUGUUGGCCGGGCGACGGUUGUCCCGGUUUAAGCGUGUAGGUGUGUGUUCCAGGUAAAUCCGGUUCACUUUAACACUGAGGCGUGACGACGAGGCACUACGGUGCUGAAGCAACAAAUGCCCUGCUUCCAGGAAAAGCCUCUAAGCAUCAGGUAACAUCAAAUCGUACCCCAAACCGACACAGGUGGUCAGGUAGAGAAUACCAAGGCGCUUGAGAGAACUCGGGUGAAGGAACUAGGCAAAAUGGUGCCGUAACUUCGGGAGAAGGCACGCUGACACGUAGGUGAAGUGAUUUACUCAUGGAGCUGAAGUCAGUCGAAGAUACCAGCUGGCUGCAACUGUUUAUUAAAAACACAGCACUGUGCAAACACGAAAGUGGACGUAUACGGUGUGACGCCUGCCCGGUGCCGGAAGGUUAAUUGAUGGGGUCAGCG
Molecule: ribosomal RNA, 1288 nt
Filed under: Salmonella enterica
Lineage: Bacteria; Pseudomonadati; Pseudomonadota; Gammaproteobacteria; Enterobacterales; Enterobacteriaceae
Description: partial 23S ribosomal RNA
Rfam family: Bacterial large subunit ribosomal RNA
Source: RNAcentral